AUUGAACGCUGGCGGCAGGCUUAACACAUGCAAGUCGAGCGGGGGAAGGUAGCUUGCUACCGGACCUAGCGGCGGACGGGUGAGUAAUGCUUAGGAAUCUGCCUAUUAGUGGGGGACAACAUCUCGAAAGGGAUGCUAAUACCUCAUACGUCCUACGGGAGAAAGCAGGGGAUCUUCGGACCUUGCGCUAAUAGAUGAGCCUAAGUCGGAUUAGCUAGUUGGGGGGGUAAAGGCCUACCAAGGCGACGAUCUGUAGCGGGUCUGAGAGGAUGAUCCGCCAAACUGGGACUGGAACACGGCCCAGACUCCGACGGGAGGCAGCAGUGGGGAAUAUUGGACAAUGGGGGAAACCCUGAUCCAGGCAUGCCGCGUGUGUGAAGAAGGCCUUAUGGAUGUAAAGCACUUUAAGCGAGGAGGAGGCUACUCUAGUUAAUACCUAGGGAUAGUGGACGUUACUCGCAGAAUAAGCACCGGCUAACUCUGUGCCAGCCGCCGCCGUAA
Molecule: ribosomal RNA, 501 nt
Filed under: uncultured bacterium
Lineage: Bacteria
Description: partial 16S ribosomal RNA
Rfam family: Bacterial small subunit ribosomal RNA
Source: RNAcentral